Molecule: ribosomal RNA, 500 nt
Filed under: uncultured Glomeromycotina
Lineage: Eukaryota; Fungi; Glomeromycota
Description: partial small subunit ribosomal RNA
Rfam family: Eukaryotic small subunit ribosomal RNA
Source: RNAcentral
CCAAUAGCGUAUAUUAAAGUUGUUGCAGUUAAAAAGCUCGUAGUUGAACCUCGGGAUCAAUGGAUCGGUCAUGCCAUCGGUAUGUACUGGUCUCAUUGUUUCUCACCUUCUAAGUAACCAUGAUUUCAUUCAUUUGAUGUUUUUGUUAAUUAGGACUGUUACCUUGAAAAAAUUAGAGUGUUUAAAUCAGGCUAACGCUUGAAUACAUUAGCAUGGAAUAAUGAAAUAUGACAUCGCAUUCUAUUUUGUUGGUUUCUAGGAUCUAUGUAAUGAUUAAUAGGGAUAGUUGGGGGCAUUAGUAUUCAAUUGUCAGAGGUGAAAUUCUUGGAUUUAUUGAAGACUAACUACUGCGAAAGCAUUUGCCAAGGAUGUUUUCAUUAAUCAAGAACGAAAGUUAGGGGAUCGAAGACGAUCAGAUACCGUCGUAGUCUUAACCAUAAACUAUGCCGACUAGGGAUCGGACGAUGUUGAUUUUUUAAUGACUCAUUUGGCACCUUACG